This 253-nucleotide ribosomal RNA is filed under the name uncultured bacterium. Its description in RNAcentral is "partial 16S ribosomal RNA". It matches the Rfam family "Bacterial small subunit ribosomal RNA", at positions 524 to 776 of the family's 1533-position model. The record is from RNAcentral.
UACGUAGGGUGCAAGCGUUAAUCGGAAUUACUGGGCGUAAAGCGUGCGCAGGCGGUUCUUUAAGGCAGAUGUGAAAUCCCCGGGCUCAACCUGGGAACUGCAUUUGUGACUGUAGAGCUGGAGUACGGUAGAGGGGGAUGGAAUUCCGCGUGUAGCAGUGAAAUGCGUAGAUAUGCGGAGGAACACCGAUGGCGAAGGCAAUCCCCUGGACCUGUACUGACGCUCAUGCACGAAAGCGUGGGGAGCAAACAGG